GUCGCUCACCGCAUCUGGGCGGUGUGAGGAAAGUCCGGGCAACACAGAGCAUCAUAUUUCCUAACGGGAAGCUGUCGGUAACGGCAGAGUAGCGUGACAGAAAAUAACCGCCGGAAUACGUUAAAUACGGGCCGGCAAGGGUGAAAAGGCGGGGUAAGAGCCCACCGGAUGACAUAGUGAUAUGACAUGCCGCACGCCUUAUGAGUUGCAAAGCCAAGUAUACCGGCAUUUAAGGGCUGCUCGUCCAUUGCCGGGGGGUAGGCUGCUAAAGUCCGGUGGUGACAUCGGACUCAGAUAAAUGACGAAACGCCAUAGACAACCCUCACACGGUGAGGAAGUGUCAUGGCCGACAUAACCCGGCUUAUCGUCCGGCUGC
RNAcentral lists this RNase P RNA (376 nucleotides) under uncultured Paramuribaculum sp. Its description in RNAcentral is "Bacterial RNase P class A". It matches the Rfam family "Bacterial RNase P class A". Rfam says of the family: Ribonuclease P (RNase P) is a ubiquitous endoribonuclease, found in archaea, bacteria and eukarya as well as chloroplasts and mitochondria. Its best characterised activity is the generation of mature 5'-ends of tRNAs by cleaving the 5'-leader elements of precursor-tRNAs. Lineage: Bacteria; Pseudomonadati; Bacteroidota; Bacteroidia; Bacteroidales; Muribaculaceae. The record is from RNAcentral.